UAAGCCUGUGAAGGUGUGUCGUGAGGCAUGCUGGAGGUAUCAGAAGUGCGAAUGCUGACAUAAGUAACGAUAAAGCGGGUGAAAAGCCCGCUCGCCGGAAGACCAAGGGUUCCUGUCCAACGUUAAUCGGGGCAGGGUGAGUCGACCCCUAAGGCGAGGCCGAAAGGCGUAGUCGAUGGGAAACGGGUUAAUAUUCCCGUACUUGGUGUUACUGCGAAGGGGGGACGGAGAAGGCUAUGUUGGCCGGGCGACGGUUGUCCCGGUUUAAGCGUGUAGGUGUGUGUUCCAGGUAAAUCCGGUUCACUUUAACACUGAGGCGUGACGACGAGGCACUACGGUGCUGAAGCAACAAAUGCCCUGCUUCCAGGAAAAGCCUCUAAGCAUCAGGUAACAUCAAAUCGUACCCCAAACCGACACAGGUGGUCAGGUAGAGAAUACCAAGGCGCUUGAGAGAACUCGGGUGAAGGAACUAGGCAAAAUGGUGCCGUAACUUCGGGAGAAGGCACGCUGACACGUAGGUGAAGUGAUUUACUCAUGGAGCUGAAGUCAGUCGAAGAUACCAGCUGGCUGCAACUGUUUAUUAAAAACACAGCACUGUGCAAACACGAAAGUGGACGUAUACGGUGUGACGCCUGCCCGGUGCCGGAAGGUUAAUUGAUGGGGUCAGCGCAAGCGAAGCUCCUGAUCGAAGCCCCGGUAAACGGCGGCCGUAACUAUAACGGUCCUAAGGUAGCGAAAUUCCUUGUCGGGUAAGUUCCGACCUGCACGAAUGGCGUAAUGAUGGCCAGGCUGUCUCCACCCGAGACUCAGUGAAAUUGAACUCGCUGUGAAGAUGCAGUGUACCCGCGGCAAGACGGAAAGACCCCGUGAACCUUUACUAUAGCUUGACACUGAACAUUGAGCCUUGAUGUGUAGGAUAGGUGGGAGGCUUUGAAGCGUGG
This 941-nucleotide ribosomal RNA is filed under the name Salmonella enterica subsp. enterica. Its description in RNAcentral is "partial 23S ribosomal RNA". It matches the Rfam family "Bacterial large subunit ribosomal RNA", at positions 1243 to 2167 of the family's 2925-position model. The record is from RNAcentral. Lineage: Bacteria; Pseudomonadati; Pseudomonadota; Gammaproteobacteria; Enterobacterales; Enterobacteriaceae.